ACUGAAUUGAAUCCAAGGGCUGCUGAGGACCUUGCCAUUCAAUGGGCUGUGGUGAAAUGGGAGGCCUGGAACUAAGCAGCUUCUUUUUUUUUUUUUUUUUAGUCUCAAAGGAAGAACCUGGAUCUUCUAGAGCUGCUAACAUUGAGGAAAGCAGGAUGGGGGAUAGAGAAAAACAAAUUUCACGUUACAUGGAUUGAGCUGCCAGAUCAAGUUUCUGCUGAAGAUACAGGCACUUGAAGAAAAACUGCAAUCUGAGAAAUGAAGGAGAACCAUGCGCAGAGGAUUUUGAGAGAUGUGGCUAUAAGGAAGUGGAUAAUAGGAAGAGGCGAACCAUUGGACAACCUUAAGAUUCUUCCUGCAGAUAGAUGUUAGAGUUGGAGUUUUGGCUGCUCAAACUGAAGCAGAAGAUCCUCCACCAAAAUUUCCUUCAAUAGGGGAAUCAUCUUGUGUAGAAGAUAUUAGAGUAAUGAUAGGAAGGAAGGACUGAAUGAGAAUGGGGAAUGAGCUCAGGGAAGUUUUAAGGGGAGAGGAGAUCCUUACACUAGGCCACAGUGCAAUAAAAAGAACCAAGAGUUUAACAACAUACAUGGUGUACCUACCAAGUACUGGGCACAGUGUUAUUUACAUACUUGGGAACGAGAAGAACAGAUAGGAUCCUGUCGAUAUAAACUUACAAUAGUUGUCUCAUUGAAGAUGCUGCCAGAGUUUCCAUUAGCAAGCAGCUUUAAACAGCUUUCUAAAAUAAGAAAGGGAUAUGGGAUGUAAGAAGCAUGGUGACAGUCACUGGAAAUGGCAAACAUGUCUAGAGCAAUAUAUGAGGUUCAUGCUGGUGUCAAUUUCAGCACUCAAGCCCUAGAAGCCUAGUAUUUUUUUUUAUUGCCUUUAGCACCUUGAUAUUAAAAAUAUUCUUGACUCUUCCUUUAA
This is a long non-coding RNA of Bubalus bubalis (water buffalo), 924 nucleotides long. RefSeq lists it as uncharacterized. NCBI's taxonomy places the organism in Eukaryota, Metazoa, Chordata, Mammalia, Artiodactyla, Bovidae. The transcript has 2 exons. The record is from RefSeq and is a predicted model, not a curated record.